CACUGACAUUAGAUACCCCGGUAGUCCAGGGUGUAAACGCUGCAGACUUGGUGUUGGGAACCCUUCGGGAGUGCUCAGUGCCGGAGAGAAGUUGUUAAGUCUGCUACUUGGGGAGUACGUCCGCAAGGAUGAAACUUAAAGGAAUUGGCGGGGGAGCACCGCAACGGGAGGAGCGUGCGGUUUAAUUGGAUUCAACGCCGAAAAACUCACCAGCAGCGACUGUUACAUGAAAGUCAGGUUGAUGACCUUACUAGAUUUUCAG
RNAcentral lists this ribosomal RNA (262 nucleotides) under uncultured archaeon. RNAcentral's name for it is "partial 16S ribosomal RNA". It matches the Rfam family "Archaeal small subunit ribosomal RNA", at positions 721 to 982 of the family's 1478-position model. The record is from RNAcentral.